This 385-nucleotide ribosomal RNA is filed under the name uncultured bacterium. Its description in RNAcentral is "bacterial SSU rRNA". It matches the Rfam family "Bacterial small subunit ribosomal RNA", at positions 29 to 407 of the family's 1533-position model. The record is from RNAcentral.
AACGAACGCUGGCGGCGUGGUUUAGGCAUGCAAGUCGAGCGAGAAAGUCCUUCGGGACGAGUACAGCGGCGAAAGGGUGAGUAAUAUAUAGGUAACCUACCUCUUGGACUCGGAUAAUUCCUGGAAACGGGUUGUAAUACGAGAUCGUCCUAUUGGGUCGCAUGGCCCGACUGGUAAAUGGUAGCUCUGCUUCUGCCGAGAGAGGGGCCUAUAUCCUAUUAGCUAGUUGGUGAGGUAAUGGCUCACCAAGGCUUUGAUGGGUAGCCGGACUGAGAGGUUGGCCGGUCACACUGGGACUGAGACACUGCCCAGACUCCUACGGGAGGCUGCAGUCGAGAAUCUUCCGCAAUGGGCGAAAGCCUGACGGGGCGACGCCGCGUGAACG